Molecule: ribosomal RNA, 460 nt
Filed under: uncultured bacterium
Lineage: Bacteria
Description: partial 16S ribosomal RNA
Rfam family: Bacterial small subunit ribosomal RNA
Source: RNAcentral
CCUACGGGCGGCUGCAGUGAGGAAUAUUGGUCAAUGGACGAGAGUCUGAACCAGCCAAGUAGCGUGAAGGAUGACUGCCCUCUGGGUUGUAAACUUUUUUUAUAUGGGAAUACAAUGUUCCUCGUUUGUGAUUUUGUAUGUACCAUAUGAAUAAGGAUCGGCUAACUCCGUGCUAGCAGCCGCGGUAAUACGGAGGAUCCGAGCGUUAUCCGGAUUUAUUGGGUUUAAAGGGAGCGUAGGUGGGUUGUUAAGUCAGUUGUGAAAGUUUGCGGCUCAACCGUAAGAUUGCAGUGGAUACUGGCAAUCUUGAGUACAGUAGAGGUGAGCGGAAUUCGUGGUGUAGCGGUGAAAUGCUUAGAUAUCAUGAAGAACUCCAAUGGCGAAGGCAGUUCACUGGACUGCAACUGACGCUGAGGCUCGAAAGUGUGGGUAUCAAACAGGAUUAGAUACCCCUGUAGUC